Acanthosepion pharaonis is the source of this 113-nucleotide non-coding RNA. The record is from the annotation of a GenBank genome assembly. Lineage: Eukaryota; Metazoa; Mollusca; Cephalopoda; Sepiida; Sepiidae.
UUACGGCCAUAUCACGUGGAAACACCGGUAUUCUUACGAUCACCGAAGUUAAGCAACGUUGAGCGUGGUCAGUACCAAGAUGGUGAUCGCUUGGGAAUACCAAGUGCUGUAGG